This 201-nucleotide ribosomal RNA is filed under the name uncultured bacterium. Its description in RNAcentral is "partial 16S ribosomal RNA". It matches the Rfam family "Bacterial small subunit ribosomal RNA", at positions 1300 to 1500 of the family's 1533-position model. The record is from RNAcentral.
GCAGGCUGAAACCCGCCUGCGUGAAGUUGGAAUUGCUAGUAAUCGCGGAUCAGCAUGCCGCGGUGAAUACGUUCCCGGGCCUUGUACACACCGCCCGUCACACCAUGGGAGCCGGUAAUACCCGAAGUCAGUAGUCUAACCGCAAGGGGGGCGCUGCCGAAGGUAGGAUUGGCGACUGGGGUGAAGUCGUAACAAGGUACC